GGAGGUGGACAGGGGCUGGUGUCCCUUCCGGUCUUCAAAACCGGCAGGAGGUGUUCGGAGCAUCUCCGGUGGGUUCGAUUCCCAUCCACCACCGCCA
This 97-nucleotide transfer RNA is filed under the name Bacillota bacterium. RNAcentral describes it as "tRNA-Sec". It matches the Rfam family "Selenocysteine transfer RNA". The record is from RNAcentral. Lineage: Bacteria; Bacillati; Bacillota. RNAcentral also lists the same sequence under 1 other name.